This 468-nucleotide ribosomal RNA is filed under the name uncultured bacterium. RNAcentral's name for it is "partial 16S ribosomal RNA". It matches the Rfam family "Bacterial small subunit ribosomal RNA", at positions 28 to 507 of the family's 1533-position model. The record is from RNAcentral.
GACGAACGCUGGCGGCGUGCUUAACACAUGCAAGUCGAACGGUAAGGCCCUGCUUUUGUGGGGUGCUCGAGUGUCGAACGGGUGAGUAACACGUGAGUAACCUGCCCUUGACUUUGGGAUAACUUCAGGAAACUGGGGCUAAUACCGGAUAGGAGCUCCUGCUGCAUGGUGGGGGUUGGAAAGUUUCGGCGGUUGGGGAUGGACUCGCGGCUUAUCAGCUUGUUGGUGGGGUAGUGGCUUACCAAGGCUUUGACGGGUAGCCGGCCUGAGAGGGUGACCGGCCACAUUGGGACUGAGAUACGGCCCAGACUCCUACGGGAGGCAGCAGUGGGGAAUAUUGCACAAUGGGCGGAAGCCUGAUGCAGCAACGCCGCGUGCGGGAUGACGGCCUUCGGGUUGUAAACCGCUUUCGCCUGUGACGAAGCGUGAGUGACGGUAAUGGGUAAAGAAGCACCGGCUAACUACGUG